This 497-nucleotide ribosomal RNA is filed under the name uncultured bacterium. Its description in RNAcentral is "partial 16S ribosomal RNA". It matches the Rfam family "Bacterial small subunit ribosomal RNA", at positions 28 to 507 of the family's 1533-position model. The record is from RNAcentral.
GAUGAACGCUGGCGGCGUGCCUAAUACAUGCAAGUCGAGCGAACAGACGAGGAGCUUGCUCCUCUGACGUUAGCGGCGGACGGGUGAGUAACACGUGGAUAACCUACCUAUAAGACUGGGAUAACUUCGGGAAACCGGAGCUAAUACCGGAUAAUAUAUUGAACCGCAUGGUUCAAUAGUGAAAGACGGUUUUGCUGUCACUUAUAGAUGGAUCCGCGCCGCAUUAGCUAGUUGGUAAGGUAACGGCUUACCAAGACAACGAUCGGUAGCCGACCUGAGAGGUUGAUCGGUCACACUGCAACUGAGGCACUGGCCAGACUCCUACGGGAGGCAGCAGUAGGGAAUCUUCCGCAAUGAGCGAAAGCCUGACGGAGCAACGCCGCUUGAGUGAUGAAGUUCUCCCGAUCGUAAAACUCUGUUAUUAGCGAAGAACAAAUGUCUACGUAACCAUGCACAUCUUGACGGUACCUAAUCAGAAAGCCACGGCUAACUACGUG